ACCGCACUUUUAUCGAGUGCUAGUGCGAUAAAGAAGGGUAAAGAAGGCCGUUUUAAUAAUAAUUCAACCACUGAAAUCACACGGACCAGAUUUGGACAAUGACUUGAAAGCUAAGACAUUCGCAGUAGGCUCUACAGGAGAGAGGGAGACCCAAAACCACCUGGAGUCAUACUGAGCCUCGAGGAGGAGAUGAAGUCAGUGAACAUGACCUGGGGUACCGGGCGGUAGUUUCCAGAAGAAGGCCCAGCUCAGAACCGCCAGGACUCAGGAGUGGAGAUCCGAAUACUUCGUUGCUGCCCUCCAUAUGAGGAGGCUGUAAGUUAGAUACAUCGCAUCUACCAGCAAAGAACGUGUGCCAGUACAGGGAAGGAAUGUACCUGUCGCACGUGAACUCUUCAGAGGCAGUGAGGACAACAAGAUCUGCAAGCAAGUGAUCCUUUUUAUACAUCGCAUCUACCAGCAAAGAAUGUGUGCCAGUAGAGGAAAGGAAUGUACCUGUCGCACGUGAACUCUUCAGAGGCAGUGAGGACAAGAUCUGCAAGCAAGUGAUCCUUUUUAUACAUCGCAUCUACCAGCAAAGAUCAAGUGCCACUACAAGAAAGGAAGGUACCUGUUUCACGUUUCCUCUUCAGAGCCAGUGAGGGCCC
Molecule: long non-coding RNA, 647 nt
Organism: Lytechinus pictus (painted urchin)
Lineage: Eukaryota; Metazoa; Echinodermata; Echinoidea; Temnopleuroida; Toxopneustidae
Exons: 5
Source: RefSeq, a predicted model, not a curated record